ACUCUGAUGGCCGAGGAAAAGGCAAUAGACUGUAGAUCUAUUUACGAGACCUAUACUCUCAGAGAA
This 66-nucleotide transfer RNA is filed under the name Koreoleptoxis nodifila. RNAcentral's name for it is "tRNA-Tyr". Lineage: Eukaryota; Metazoa; Mollusca; Gastropoda; Pleuroceridae. The record is from RNAcentral.